GAUGAACGCUGGCGGCGUGCCUAACACAUGCAAGUCGAACGGAGUCCAGCCUUUAAGACCUUCGGGUCAAAGAGGGGAAGACUGAGUGGCGGACGGGUGAGUAACACGUGGGCAACCUGGCUCAUAGAGGGGGAUAACAGAGAGAAAUUUCUGCUAAUACCGCAUAAGCACACACUGCCGCAUGGCAGAGGGUGAAAAGAGAAUCGCUAUGAGAUGGACCCGCGUCUGAUUAGCCAGUUGGCAGGGUAAGAGCCUACCAAAGCGACGAUCAGUAGCCGAUCUGAGAGGAUGAACGGCCACAUUGGGACUGAGACACGGCCCAAACUCCUACGGGAGGCAGCAGUGGGGGAUAUUGCACAAUGGGAGGAACCCUGAUGCAGCGACGCCGCGUGAGUGAAGAAGUAUUUCGGUAUGUAAAGCUCUAUCAGCAGGGAAGAUAAUGACAGUACCUGAAGAAGAAGCCCCGGCUAACUACGUG
RNAcentral lists this ribosomal RNA (478 nucleotides) under uncultured bacterium. RNAcentral describes it as "partial 16S ribosomal RNA". It matches the Rfam family "Bacterial small subunit ribosomal RNA", at positions 28 to 507 of the family's 1533-position model. The record is from RNAcentral.